This 254-nucleotide ribosomal RNA is filed under the name uncultured bacterium. RNAcentral describes it as "partial 16S ribosomal RNA". It matches the Rfam family "Bacterial small subunit ribosomal RNA", at positions 524 to 776 of the family's 1533-position model. The record is from RNAcentral.
UACGGGGGGAGCAAGCGUUGUUCGGAUUUACUGGGCGUAAAGGGCGCGUAGGCGGCCACCGCAAGUCGACUGUGAAAUCUCCGGGCUUAACUCGGAAAGGUCAACUGAUACUGUGCGACUAGAGUGCAGAAGGGGCAACUGGAAUUCUCGGUGUAGCGGUGAAAUGCGUAGAUAUCGAGAGGAACACCUGCGGCGAAGGCGGGUUGCUGGGCUGACACUGACGCUGAUGCGCGAAAGCCAGGGGAGCGAACGGG